Molecule: unclassified non-coding RNA, 344 nt
Filed under: soil metagenome
Description: partial contains 5.8S ribosomal RNA, internal transcribed spacer 2, and large subunit ribosomal RNA
Rfam family: 5.8S ribosomal RNA (bases 1-121)
Source: RNAcentral
GAUGAAGAACGCAGCGAAAUGCGAUAAGUAAUGCGAAUUGCAGAAUUUCCGUGAGUCAUCGAAUCUUUGAACGCACAUUGCGCCCUUUGGUAUUCCGAAGGGCAUGCCUGUUCGAGCGUCAUUUCAACCCUCGACCUCCCCUUGGGGAGGUCGGCGUUGGGGACCGGCAGCACACCGCCGGCCCUGAAAUGGAGUGGCGGCCCGUCUGCGGCGACCUCUGCGUAGUAAUACAGCUCGCACCGGAACCCCGACGCGGCCACGCCGUAAAACACCCAACUUCUGAACGUUGACCUCGAAUCAGGUAGGACUACCCGCUGAACUUAAGCAUAUCAAUAAGCGGAGGA